CUACAGUAGUCAGCAUGGCUCGAGCAGUGCGGAAAGGUUUUAAAGAAAGUUAUGUAGAUCGCUGUGGUCCUUUGGGGGUCCUGCUCUGCACCAAGUAUAGGAUAAACCAAGCACGCGUGUAUUUACAGGCAUACAAAGUGGGAUACAAGAUCCAGUGUCCGAGUAAAACAGGAAUAUGACCCACACAAUCCAAACUACACAUAGCACCACCGACUUACACACAAAUGCACAUAUUUGAUGUACUGUUUUACAUUCCAACGCUUUUAAUACGUCUUUAAACAUCUCUUCAGCACAUGGUUGGGCUAAGGAUUACUUUUGGAUGAAGUUUCAAACAGGCUGGUGUCUAACCUGGAUAUCACCUCGUACAUGUCACAAAUUGACAGUAAUAUAGUAUGUGCUGCAAAUACCUGUGCUGCAAAUACUCACUUCUUUUCAUUGUCUCUACUUGCCUAUGUACGCAUGCCGGACUACAUGUAGAUUUUGGAGCUAAUCUGUGUAGCUUCUAACUAUGGACACUCAGCUUUUCUCAGCAUAUUGAAAUCAGAAACUGCUUGCCUGCUACACAUGGCUCAUGAGCUUUUGGCUACCUGGAAUCCUGCCUGCUCAAAGUGGCUGCUGUAGCCACACUAGUGGACUGGACUGGACGCUCAGAACUGGAACAUGGGUUUUCCGCCAUUCUCUGUUGCCUUGAAAAUAACCCAGCAAAUCGAUUCACUGCUCACCUCCUGCCCUCAGCUCACAGACCCACAGAUAACAAUUCCAGCUCAGUCAACUGUAUUCAGCUCAAACUGACUUUGACUUGUGCUCAUCUGGCUAUUGUUUGAAUUUUAUGGAGUACGAGGCGAGCCACAAGCUGUGUGCCAACUGCUCAAAGACUCCCUGUGCCGAAUCCAAACCCCAAUGCCAGCAUGGUCUCAGGCCCUGGUCCUCAGUUUCUCCGGAUCCAACCUAAUCAGGCCACUAGCUGCAAAUGUUUGGGCCCGGUGGCAGGCAUGAGCCCAAAAGCCCAAGAAAUGUUUCAAGGUUCUCUCUUAUUAUGUGGAUGGCUCGAAAUCAGACACAGCUUGGUAAUUUUAGGGGUAAAGCCACAUAUUAUGGCUCACAGCCUUCAGCAAAGCUCUCCUGAUAGCUCAGGGUCUGAGCCCCCUAUAACUACAUCCAAGAGACUCUUCCAUAAGGGAGAUGAACCCGCUGAGCUACAUCGCUCAACUUCUGAAGAGUCGAUUGAUGCCAUGUUUUUGACAGCCUGAGAGAACGGAAAAACUCUCCGCCAAUCUGUUUGAAAACAUAGUGCCAAGUUUGGCUGGCACAUUCCACACUGCCAGAAGAAUGCAAAACAAAAUAAUGAAGUCUAUCCUGCAUACCUGGGUUGUUCUUUGGGUCUGCUGCCAAAGAAGCCUUAGAUAGGAGAAUUAAGGAUUUGGAUUGAUAUCAAAAGUCAAUAAAACAAAGUAGAUCGGCCACACAGCACCAAUAGGGUGCCAAUGGCUGAAUCAGUGCUUUGAUGCCCUCUGAAAUUUUAUAGGCCUUGCGAAAGGUUCUGGGAGUCCAGAACCUCUAAGUGUUUUGAGAACCUCUGAGAGGAGAACCAUGGUUCACUUCUGAACACACAACCCACUGAAUAGUACAAGGGUUUUUUUUUGGAGAGAGGUACGAUCAAAAAGUAAACCCCACCCUAUCCAGGAGUGGUGCAGCAGAUCUGAUAACAAUUUGGCCAGGCACAGGUGGACCUCUUUGCCAACACUGAGUCAACUUAUUGUCUCUUUUGUGCAGAUGAACAGGCCUCUGGGACAUUGCGCCUUGUUUCCACCUCUUUCGCUGAUUCUGCUUAUGCUACAAAGAUUUCAGAAAUCGAACCAGAGGUGUUAGACACCACCCAUGGAUGUUAGUAGGGGUAACACCCGGUUAUCCAGUGUUCAUAGUAUGCUUUUUUUAUGCAAGUCUUUCUUAAAAAAAAUCCACAUAAAAAAAAUUCUGAAAUAUAUGAAAAAUAAUGAAAAGCUUUAUUACUUUAACUCCUUUGCUCUUUUACUCAUUCUGUCUGUUAUUAGAAAAAGUUAUUUUAUUGGAAUGUGGUGUUUUAUAUGUUGUUUUGGUUUUGGUUAAAAUAGUUUUAAAAUUUGUCAUUUUUAC
Ictalurus punctatus (channel catfish) is the source of this 2133-nucleotide long non-coding RNA. Lineage: Eukaryota; Metazoa; Chordata; Actinopteri; Siluriformes; Ictaluridae. The record is from Ensembl.